RNAcentral lists this ribosomal RNA (253 nucleotides) under uncultured bacterium. Its description in RNAcentral is "partial 16S ribosomal RNA". It matches the Rfam family "Bacterial small subunit ribosomal RNA", at positions 524 to 776 of the family's 1533-position model. The record is from RNAcentral.
UACGUAGGGGGCAAGCGUUGUCCGGAAUCAUUGGGCGUAAAGCGCGUGUAGGCGGCUCGGUAAGUCCGCUCUGAAAGUCCAGGGCUCAACCCUGGGAUGCGGGUGGACACUGCCGGGCUCGAGUCCGGAAGAGGCGAGUGGAAUUCCCGGUGUAGCGGUGAAAUGCGCAGAUAUCAGGAGGAACACCUAUUGCGAAGGCAGCUCGCUGGGACGUUACUGACGCUGAGACGCGAAAGCGUGGGGAGCAAACAGG